UUUCCGUAGGUGAACCUGCGGAAGGAUCAUUAUUGUAUAACCGAUGUUCGAGGGCUGUCGCUGACCCGGAAGGUCGUUCAAGCCCGAGUGCACCCACACACAUCCGUCUGACCCCUAUGUGCACCACCGCCCGAGUCCCCCUUUGCCUUGUUCGGACGGGGGCUUACUGUUACACACAAACUUUGAAUACAGCGUAGUAAGUAUUUUUAGAUUUUGCGAUCACGCUAUCACUACAACUUUCAACAACGGAUCUCUUGACACCCGACGCGUUGACGAACG
Molecule: unclassified non-coding RNA, 279 nt
Filed under: plant metagenome
Description: partial contains small subunit ribosomal RNA, internal transcribed spacer 1, and 5.8S ribosomal RNA
Source: RNAcentral